Molecule: transfer RNA, 66 nt
Filed under: Nabis apicalis
Lineage: Eukaryota; Metazoa; Arthropoda; Insecta; Hemiptera; Nabidae
Description: tRNA-Cys
Source: RNAcentral
GGCUUUAUAGUCAAUAUAAAUGAUAUUAGACUGCAAUUCUAAAGUAGUAUACAUAUACUAAAGCUU